Long non-coding RNA from Vigna unguiculata (cowpea), 336 nucleotides. RefSeq lists it as uncharacterized. The record is from RefSeq and is a predicted model, not a curated record. NCBI's taxonomy places the organism in Eukaryota, Viridiplantae, Streptophyta, Magnoliopsida, Fabales, Fabaceae.
UCUCCUCAUUUCUUCUUCUUCUUCUCUAUUCCUAAAUUCUUUCUCAACCUCUCUUCUCAAAACUGCCCUCUCACCAAUUGUUUGAAUUAUUGUCAGAUUCUGGAAGAACAAGUCCAACAGAACCCUCUGCUGCUUCCUCCCUCAACUCUCUUCCUCCUAGUGAUGAAUUCUCUAGGUUAAAGUAAGAUUUAUGCCUUCUUGCAACUAAUUUGACUUCACCAAGCUCAAACCUUAACAAAGAAAAGGAUCCAGGAGAAGAUACACCCCUUUUGGACCAGAGUUGACUCAUGACUAAAGACGUUUGGUAGUACUUUUGUUUUAUCAGACUUGGGAGUA